UAACCUGCCCAAGAGAUCGGGAUAACACCUGGAAACAGAUGCUAAUACCGGAUAAUAACAGAUGAUGCCUAUCAACUGUUUAAAAGAUGGUUCUGCUAUCACUCUUGGAUGGACCUGCGGUGCAUUAGCUAGUUGGUAGGGUAACGGCCUACCAAGGCGAUGAUGCAUAGCCGAGUUGAGAGACUGAUCGGCCACAUUGGGACUGAGGCACGGCCCAAACUCCUACGGGAGGCAGCAGGC
Molecule: ribosomal RNA, 240 nt
Filed under: uncultured Lactobacillus sp.
Lineage: Bacteria; Bacillati; Bacillota; Bacilli; Lactobacillales; Lactobacillaceae
Description: partial 16S ribosomal RNA
Rfam family: Bacterial small subunit ribosomal RNA
Source: RNAcentral